This 229-nucleotide unclassified non-coding RNA is filed under the name plant metagenome. Its description in RNAcentral is "partial contains small subunit ribosomal RNA, internal transcribed spacer 1, and 5.8S ribosomal RNA". The record is from RNAcentral.
UCUCCGUAGGUGAACCUGCGGAGGGAUCAUUACAGAGUUCAUGCCCUACCGGGUAGAUCUCCCCCCCUGUGUUAUUAUUACUUUGUUGCUUUGGCGGGCCGUUAGGCUCCGGCCCGACUACCGGCCCCGGCUGGUAAGCGCCCGCCAGAGGACCCAAAACCCUGAAUAUUAGUGUCGUCUGAGUACUAUAUAAUAGUUAAAACUUUCAACAACGGAUCUCUUGGUUCUG